Mustela erminea (ermine) is the source of this 851-nucleotide long non-coding RNA. RefSeq lists it as uncharacterized. The transcript is spliced from 3 exons. The record is from RefSeq and is a predicted model, not a curated record. NCBI's taxonomy places the organism in Eukaryota, Metazoa, Chordata, Mammalia, Carnivora, Mustelidae.
AGCUUUCCCGGGUCCAUAACAAGCCCAGGCAGCUAUUCAAAUGCAAGUUGCAACCCCAAAUGCGAGGCUGGCCUGACCAAAAAGAGCCAUCCGGCUGCUGGGAGAAGCGAGACCCGUGCUCUGGUUCUUAUCCUUAUCUGUUCUUCCUUUUUCUUCCUCUUCUCCGGUUCCUGAUUUAGCUGGGAGCUGUUUAUUUAUGGCUGCAAAUGUGUGUGUGCGAGGGAGAGGGAGAAUUGAUCUUUGCCUGGAUUUAAAGAUGGAGCCGAAGGCGCUGGAGGGAAUUUGGGUUUGUGCGUCUGACUCAGACCCUGCGCGCCAAAGGGGGCCGCUUGGCACCGAGCCCGAGGUCUUUCUUUCUGGCACCCCUCACCUCGCGACCCUGCAGGAAUCCGCGGGCCCAGGAGCAGCCUGGCUGACCCACCUGCCCCGGGCCAGGCUGUCAAGAAAGGCUUCAUGGAGGGGGCCAACACGUCCCCGUCUUUAAAAUGAGCACAAUAAAAGGGGGCAAAUCCUCCAACACGAACCUGAUCGCUUGUCACAGAAGCAACUUGCCAUGAAAUCCGCUAAUGCGCCGCGACUCGCCCACCGGGAGGUGUGAAGAAGGACAGGAGAAGCUGGCAGGAAGCACCCAGGAUCAAAUCCUUUAUCUCACAGUUAUCAAGUUCCCUACCAUUGCCAGACACCAAAGAAAUGGUUCCUCACCAGGAGGUUAGUUCUAGACAUGCUACAGGCAUCAGAAAUUCUGGUGAGUUCCAUUCUGAGACUCUGGCCGAGGAGUCAGUCUCCCUUUAGAGCCCUGGAUGGGGGACUCUGCCCUGACACCAGGUUUGCUGUUUGUGCGGUCAACAAAU